GUCCCUGUAGCUCAGCUGGAUAGAGCAACGGACUUCUAAUCCGUAGGUCGGGGGUUCGAAUCCCUCCGGGGACG
RNAcentral lists this transfer RNA (74 nucleotides) under hydrocarbon metagenome. Its description in RNAcentral is "tRNA-Arg". It matches the Rfam family "tRNA". From Rfam's summary of the family: Transfer RNA (tRNA) molecules are approximately 80 nucleotides in length. Their secondary structure includes four short double-helical elements and three loops (D, anti-codon, and T loops). The record is from RNAcentral.